GUACUAUGAUGAUAUAUUGUGAUAAGGUCUCGUUCGUCGUAACGGCAGAUAUGCCUUGCCGACCAUCCUGAUAUAUCACCACCCAUAAACUGAGUCC
Small nucleolar RNA from Cornus florida, 97 nucleotides. RefSeq annotates it as small nucleolar RNA Z43. The record is from RefSeq and is a predicted model, not a curated record. NCBI's taxonomy places the organism in Eukaryota, Viridiplantae, Streptophyta, Magnoliopsida, Cornales, Cornaceae. The transcript has a single exon.